CCACCCCACAAGUACCCCACUGUAACCUCCAACCCCCAGACACACACACACACACACACACCGCCUGUCCCUUCUCGUUCCCAUGCCUAGACAGCCGGCUUGACAGCCAGUGACAAGUGCAGCUGGAUCUGCUGCUGUCCAUCACUGAGACUGGCUUUCAGCAGAGUUCUGUCUUACUACCAGAGGCUUCUCUGUCUCCUGCCAGACAUGCUGCCAGGACCAAACAAGGCAAGGCCAAGCUCUGCAGCAUGAAGGUGGAGGACACUUUCUCGGCUCUGACAGCGGAGAAAAUGCAACAACAAGGUGGCCCUGCUGCAGCCACCAGCGCCUUUCAGGCUCCUGGAUUGGGUAUUAUUCUAUGCAGCUGCUGGAACCAGAUCCUCCUGCAUUGCAGACCUGAGCACAGAGUGUGAUGACUUUUUCAGCCCCUUGAGAAGGAUGGAAAGCAGGUUAUGACUCUGCUCCAUAUACAGAAAAACCAAUGGAAUAAAGUACAUUUUUAAUUAUGCCCCGGAUGGAUCAGGGCAUACAUGGGUGGUUUGCUCACAAUAAAUGCUGCAUAUAUUUACUAAAUGAAUAUAAACAUGUAUCAUAAAAACUUGUGCAGGGAAGUCAUUAUUCUAACUUAUAAAAACAGAUGUGAGCACAGAGUAGACUUAAUGGGCCAUUUGAUGAUUCUUCUGCUGAGACACCGUGAGCGAACGCAUAAAUUUUAAAUGCAAUUUGUAUUUUCUUUUGUUUUUGUCUCUGUGGUAAGGCGUUAUCUGUCAAAAUAGUGCAAAUAAUGUCAAACAUUCUCUUUUCUUCCUUCUUCUGGACAUGCACUACAUGUGAAUCAAUGAACAUCUGUUUUUAACAUCAUUUUAACUGUCUACCAUGUGAAAAAAUGAUGGAAAACUUGCCAUUUGUUACCGAGAACCUAACUAUAUGAUCAACAAAAAGUUUUAUCCCUACAUUGGUAAAUAAGUUAGAUAGUGCAAAAAAAUCUUACUAAAAUUGAUGUUAUCAAAAUCUAUUUUUGCAAUUUCAAAAAAAGCUGGAAAAAUCUAUUGUUUGCAUAUACGGAAUCAGAUUUAUAAAGCAUUUGUAAGCCAUAGAAGAAUAAAGCAUUUUAUUUCUCA
Molecule: long non-coding RNA, 1121 nt
Organism: Xiphophorus maculatus (southern platyfish)
Lineage: Eukaryota; Metazoa; Chordata; Actinopteri; Cyprinodontiformes; Poeciliidae
Exons: 2
Source: RefSeq, a predicted model, not a curated record